This 483-nucleotide ribosomal RNA is filed under the name uncultured bacterium. RNAcentral's name for it is "partial 16S ribosomal RNA". It matches the Rfam family "Bacterial small subunit ribosomal RNA", at positions 899 to 1397 of the family's 1533-position model. The record is from RNAcentral.
ACUCAAAUGAAUUGACGGGGACCCGCACAAGCGGUGGAACAUGUGGUUUAAUUCGACGGUAAGCGAGGAACCUCACCAAGGUUUGACAUGUAGCUGCAAGGUCCUGAAAGGGAUCCGCCUUCGAGGGUGCUACACAGGUGCUGCAUGGUUGUCGUCAGCUCGUGCCGUGAGGUGUACCCUUAAGUGGGGUAACGAGCGCAACCCCUAUGUUGUGUUGUUGUUUCACAACAGACUGCCUCGGCUAACGGGGAGGAAGGCGGGGAUGACGUCAAAUCAGCAUGGCUCUUACACCUUGGGCGACACACGUGUUACAAUGGACAGCACAACGGGCCGCCAAAGCGAAAGCUGGAGCUAAUCCCAUCAAAACUGUCCUCAGUUCGGAUCGAGGUCUGCAACUCGACCUCGUGAAGCCGGAAUCGCUAGUAAACGUGCAUCAGCCACGGCGCGUUGAAUACGUUCUCGGGUCUUGUACACACCGCCCGU